Molecule: ribosomal RNA, 254 nt
Filed under: uncultured bacterium
Lineage: Bacteria
Description: partial 16S ribosomal RNA
Rfam family: Bacterial small subunit ribosomal RNA
Source: RNAcentral
UACGUAGGCAGCGAGCGUUGUUCGGAAUUACUGGGCGUAAAGAGUGUGUAGGCGGUGCUCUAAGUUCGGUGUGAAAUCUCCUGGCUCAACUGGGAGGGUGCGCCGGAAACUGGAGUGCUUGAGCGUGGGAGAGGAAAGCGGAAUUCCGGGUGGAGUGGUGAAAUGCGUAGAGAUCCGGAGGAACACCAAAGGCGAAGGCAGUGUCCUGGGGAGUACCUGACGCUCAGGUGCGAAAGCCAGGGGAGCGGAACGGG